Molecule: ribosomal RNA, 106 nt
Filed under: uncultured bacterium
Lineage: Bacteria
Description: partial 16S ribosomal RNA
Source: RNAcentral
CGUUANACACCGCCCGUCCACACCACGAAAGACUGCUUGAACCAGAAGUCGCUGACCCAACCCGCAAGGGAGGGAGGCGCCCAAGGUUUGAGUAGUGAUUGGGGUG